Molecule: ribosomal RNA, 449 nt
Filed under: uncultured bacterium
Lineage: Bacteria
Description: partial 16S ribosomal RNA
Rfam family: Bacterial small subunit ribosomal RNA
Source: RNAcentral
UACGAACGCUGGCGGCAAGCCAGACACAUGCAAGUCGAACGAGACCUUCGGGUCUAGUGGCGCGCGGGUGUGUCACGCGUGGCAAUCUGCCCUUUGUGUCGGAAUAACAGUUGGCGACGACUCCGAAUAGCGCAUGAUGACUAAAGUCGAAAGAUUUAUCGCCAGAGGAUGAGCCAGCGUAGGCUUAGCUAUUUGGUGUGGUAAAGGAGCACCAAGGCGACGAUCCUUAGCUGGUCUGAGAGGAUGAUCAGCCACACUGGGACUGAGACACGGCCCAGCCUCCUACGGGAGGCAGCAGUGGGGAAUAUUGGACAAUGGGCGAAAGCCUGAUCCAGCAAUGCCGCGUGAGUGAUGAAGGCCUUAGGGUUGUAAAGCUCUUUUACCCGGGAUGAUAAUGACAGUACCGGGAGAAUAAGCUCCGGCUAACUCCGUGCCAGCCGCCGCCGUAA